RNAcentral lists this ribosomal RNA (496 nucleotides) under uncultured bacterium. RNAcentral's name for it is "partial 16S ribosomal RNA". It matches the Rfam family "Bacterial small subunit ribosomal RNA", at positions 29 to 507 of the family's 1533-position model. The record is from RNAcentral.
AUGAACGCUGGCGGCGUGCCUAAUACAUGCAAGUCGAGCGAACAGACGAGGAGCUUGCUCCUCUGACGUUAGCGGCGGUCGGGUGAGUAACACGUGGAUAACCUACCUAUAAGACUGGGAUAACUUCGGGAAACCGGAGCUAAUACCGGAUAAUAUAUUGAACCGCAUGGUUCAAUAGUGAAAGACGGUUUUGCUGUCACUUAUAGAUGGAUCCGCGCCGCAUUAGCUAGUUGGUAAGGUAACGGCUUACCAAGGCAACGAUGCGUAGCCGACCUGAGAGGGUGAUCGGCCACACUGGAACUGAGACACGGUCCAGACUCCUACGGGAGGCAGCAGUAGGGAAUCUUCCGCAAUGGGCGAAAGCCUGACGGAGCAACGCCGCGUGAGUGAUGAAGGUCUUCGGAUCGUAAAACUCUGUUAUUAGGGAAGAACAAAUGUGUAAGUAACUAUGCACGUAUUGACGGUACCUAAUCAGAAAGCCACGGCUAACUACGUG